AAACGUUUAGCAACAGUUGCCGUUUGAAACUGCAUUUCGUCGCGUGCUUUCAGUCGCCGCGUCAAACAAACCGAGACGUAAUUAAAAAUGACCUCGGUGACUUUGUUGGCAACGCAACAAUCCUGUUUUGCUCUGCAAUCUCCUGCUCCCUCUGGUGGAUCUGGCCUGGAGGGGAUGGAGGAAUCAAAGGGUUAAGACUGCCUCUUGGCGUCACCCAGGGCGGAGAAGAGGUCCAGCUUGAUCCUGGUUUCAGCACUCAGACUGUUCUCCAGGUGCUGGGUCUUCUCCUGCAUGGCUGACAGCGCAGACAUCAACACCUCGGUGUCCUUCUCAUUUUCU
Molecule: long non-coding RNA, 339 nt
Organism: Betta splendens (Siamese fighting fish)
Lineage: Eukaryota; Metazoa; Chordata; Actinopteri; Anabantiformes; Osphronemidae
Exons: 3
Source: RefSeq, a predicted model, not a curated record